GCGGGUGUAGUUCAGUGGUAGAACGUCAGCUUCCCAAGCUGAAUGUCAUGGGUUCGAGUCCCAUCACCCGCU
RNAcentral lists this transfer RNA (72 nucleotides) under Chloroflexota bacterium. RNAcentral's name for it is "tRNA-Gly". It matches the Rfam family "tRNA". Rfam says of the family: Transfer RNA (tRNA) molecules are approximately 80 nucleotides in length. Lineage: Bacteria; Bacillati; Chloroflexota. RNAcentral also lists the same sequence under 1 other name. The record is from RNAcentral.